GAUGAACGCUGGCGGCGUGCCUAAUACAUGCAAGUCGAGCGAACAGACGAGGAGCUUGCUCCUUUGACGUUAGCGGCGGACGGGUGAGUAACACGUGGGUAACCUACCUAUAAGACUGGGAUAACUUCGGGAAACCGGAGCUAAUACCGGAUAAUAUUUCGAACCGCAUGGUUCGUUAGUGAAAGAUGGCUUUGCUAUCACUUAUAGAUGGACCUGCGCCGUAUUAGCUAGUUGGUAAGGUAACGGCUUACCAAGGCAACGAUACGUAGCCGACCUGAGAGGGUGAUCGGCCACACUGGAACUGAGACACGGUCCAGACUCCUACGGGAGGCAGCAGUAGGGAAUCUUCCGCAAUGGGCGAAAGCCUGACGGAGCAACGCCGCGUGAGUGAUGAAGGUCUUCGGAUCGUAAAACUCUGUUAUUAGGGAAGGACAAACGUGUAAGUAACUGUGCACGUCUUGACGGUACCUAAUCAGAAAGCCACGGCUAACUACGUG
RNAcentral lists this ribosomal RNA (497 nucleotides) under uncultured bacterium. RNAcentral's name for it is "partial 16S ribosomal RNA". It matches the Rfam family "Bacterial small subunit ribosomal RNA", at positions 28 to 507 of the family's 1533-position model. The record is from RNAcentral.